RNAcentral lists this ribosomal RNA (177 nucleotides) under Bicosoecida sp. CB-2014. Its description in RNAcentral is "partial Bacterial large subunit ribosomal RNA". It matches the Rfam family "Bacterial large subunit ribosomal RNA", at positions 1338 to 1517 of the family's 2925-position model. Lineage: Eukaryota; Bigyra; Bicosoecida. The record is from RNAcentral.
CGAAAGCCUCAGGCUUUUGGAGGAAGGUUCGUCCGCUCCAAGUAAGCCGGGAGCUAAGGUGAGGCCGAAAGGCGUAGCUGAUGCACAUACGGUAGAUAUUCCGUAGCCGCCAAAAGAUUUAAGUAAGAGGACACCUUGAAAGGACUUGACCCGGGCGAUGGUUGCCCCGGGCGAAAG